RNAcentral lists this ribosomal RNA (274 nucleotides) under uncultured bacterium. Its description in RNAcentral is "partial 16S ribosomal RNA". It matches the Rfam family "Bacterial small subunit ribosomal RNA", at positions 523 to 796 of the family's 1533-position model. The record is from RNAcentral.
AUACGGAGGGGGCUAGCGUUGUUCGGAAUUACUGGGCGUAAAGCGCGCGUAGGCGGCUUAUCAAGUUAGGCGUGAAAGGCCUGGGCUCAACCCGGGAACUGCGCUUAAUACUGGUAGACUAGAGUCCGGGAGAGGAUGGCGGAAUUCCCAGUGUAGAGGUGAAAUUCGUAGAUAUUGGGAAGAACACCAGUGGCGAAGGCGGCCAUCUGGUCCGGCACUGACGCUGAGGCGCGAAAGCGUGGGGAGCAAACAGGAUUAGAAACCCCGGUAGUCC